UCCAGGUGGCAGCACUCAAGAGUCAAGAGCUGGGUUCUACCAGGAAAAUUAAGGUGAUUUUCAUUCAGCGUUUCACAUUGGAGGGCUGUGAUGCUACUGUUUUCGACUAGUUGCCACAAGGCAUAAUUUUUUUUAAAAUCUUUAUAUUGAUUAAAGUUGAGCUUAGGUUUCUUGUUUGAAUAUAUUUGUUUUCCUUAUUUUAAUGCACUAACUGACUUGGGCUCGCCAAACCUACUCUGAGUCAAGACCGCAGGCCUUGGGCUAAGGUACCUCCUUUUAAGAGGAACACAGAGGCUCUUUAACUGGCAUACCCCAGGAGUCAACUGUGAGGCAGUCUUUAAAGAUGUGAACACGCAAUGAAUAUGGAGGCCAGUGUGUCCUCAGUCGAAAAAGGCUGUGCUCGCUACCCGUCCGUGAGUCCUGCACUGCUACUCUUUAGAUGAACCUGCCUUGCCCAAUUACCCCCUGCUGACCUCAGAUGCCAGCUAAAUCGAAUGUGUGAAGACUCCCGAUGGACGCGUGGCGGUCAGGUCACACACAUGUACCGAGGCUCAUGGGAGCUCUAACACUGUAAAGGUUUCUGUUUUCCUAAGAGCAGUUACCAAGGUUACCUUUCUAAAACACUUUCCGUUUAAUGGCGGUUGUAUUUCACUGCCCUUGUGGACCACUGCUCAACUUUAGGAGUGUCCUGGGGAGCCUAAUAAACUGCUAUAUGACACAGUACAAUACCGC
Esox lucius (northern pike) is the source of this 732-nucleotide long non-coding RNA. NCBI's taxonomy places the organism in Eukaryota, Metazoa, Chordata, Actinopteri, Esociformes, Esocidae. The record is from Ensembl.